Molecule: long non-coding RNA, 218 nt
Filed under: Elaeis guineensis (African oil palm)
Lineage: Eukaryota; Viridiplantae; Streptophyta; Magnoliopsida; Arecales; Arecaceae
Description: long non-coding RNA (EGUI_LNC065007)
Source: RNAcentral
UCACAUCUAGGUCUGAAAUUUCUAUCACUCAUUCACCUGUCAAGGAAUCCAUUUUCCUCAUUGUUCCAUUUUUUUAGAGUAAUUAACAAAAUCCUCACAAGGUUUAUGUUUAUCAUACUUACAUCCAAUAAUUUGUAAUAUCUAUAUUUACAUCCAAUUAAAUUAAUGAUGUUAGUGAAAUCAUUUAUCUUAUUUAAAAAGUUGAAACCGCUCUUGGG